UAGAGGAGGCAGGUAGUCUAGUGGUUAGAGGAGACAGGUAGUCUAGUGGUUAGAGGAGACAGGUAGUCUAGUGGUUAGAGGAGACAGGUAGUCUAGUGGUUAGAGGAGACAGGUAGUCUAGUGGUUAGAGGAGGCAGGUAGUCUAGUGGUUAGAGGAGGCAGGUAGUCUAGUGGUUAGAGGUGGCAGGUCUCCUAAUGGUUAGAGGAGACAGGUAGUCUAGUGGUUAGAGGAGACAGGUAGUCUAGUGGUUAGAGGAGACAGGUAGUCUAGUGGUUAGAGGAGGUAGGUAGUCUAGUGGUUAGAGGAGACAGGUAGUCUAGUGGUUAGAGGAGACAGGUAGCCUAGUGGUUAGAGGAGACAGGUAGUCUAGUGGUUAGAGGAGACAGGUAGUCUAGUGGUUAGAGGAGACAGGUAGCCUAGUGGUUAGAGGAGACAGGUAGUCUAGUGGUUAGAGGAGGCAGGUAGUCUAGUAGUUAGAGGAGACAGGUAGUCUCGUGGUUAGAGGAGACAGGUAGUCUAGUGGUUAGAGGAGGCAGGUAGUCUAGUGGUUAGAGGAGGCAGGUAGUCUAGUGGUUAGAGGAGGCAGGUAGUCUAGUGGUUAGAGGAGACAGGUAGUCUAGUGGUUAGAGGAGACAGGUAGUCUAGUGGUUAGAGGAGGCAGGUAGUCUAGUGGUUAGAGGAGACAGGUAGUCUAGUGGUUAGAGGAGACAGGUAGUCUAGUGGUUAGAGGAGACAGGUAGCCUAGUGGUUAGAGGAGACAGGUAGCCUAGUGGUUAGAGGAGGCAGGUAGUCUAGUGGUUAGAGGAGACAGGUAGCCUAGUGGUUAGAGGAGACAGGUAGUCUAGUAGUUAGAGGAGACAGGUAGUCUAGUGGUUAGAGGAGACAGGUAGCCUAGUGGUUAGAGGAGACAGGUAGCCUAGUGGUUAGAGGAGGCAGGUAGUCUAGUGGUUAGAGGAGACAGGUAGUCUAGUGGUUAGAGGAGGCAGGUAGUCUCGUGGUUAGAGGAGACAGGUAGUCUAGUGGUUAGAGGAGACAGGUAGUCUAGUGGUUAGAGGAGACAGGUAGUCUAGUGGUUAGAGGAGACAGGUAGUCUAGUGGUUAGAGGAGGCAGGUAGUCUAGUAGUUAGAGGAGACAGGUAGUCUAGUGGUUAGAGGAGACAGGUAGUCUAGUGGUUAGAGGAGGCAGGUAGUCUAGUAGUUAGAGGAGACAGGUAGUCUAGUGGUUAGAGGAGACAGGUAGCCUAGUGGUUAGAGGAGACAGGUAGCCUAGUGGUUAGAGGAGGCAGGUAGUCUAGUGGUUAGAGGAGACAGGUAGUCUAGUGGUUAGAGGAGGCAGGUAGUCUCGUGGUUAGAGGAGACAGGUAGUCUAGUGGUUAGAGGAGACAGGUAGUCUAGUGGUUAGAGGAGACAGGUAGUCUAGUGGUUAGAGGAGACAGGUAGUCUAGUGUUUAGAGGAGACAGGUAGCCUAGUGGUUAGAGGAGACAGGUAGUCUAGUGGUUAGAGGAGACAGGUAGCCUAGUGGUUAGAGGAGACAGGUAGUCUAGUGGUUAGAGGAGACAGGUAGCCUAGUGGUUAGAGGAGACAGGUAGUCUAGUGGUUAGAGGAGACAGGUAGCCUAGUGGUUAGAGGAGACAGGUAGUCUAGUGGUUAGAGGAGGCAGGUAGUCUAGUAGUUAGAGGAGACAGGUAGUCUAGUGGUUAGAGGAGACAGGUAGUCUAGUGGUUAGAGGAGGCAGGUAGUCUAGUAGUUAGAGGAGACAGGUAGUCUAGUGGUUAGAGGAGACAGGUAGCCUAGUGGUUAGAGGAGACAGGUAGCCUAGUGGUUAGAGGAGGCAGGUAGUCUAGUGGUUAGAGGAGACAGGUAGCCUAGUGGUUAGAGGAGACAGGUAGUCUAGUGGUUAGAGGAGACAGGUAGUCUAGUGGUUAGAGGAGACAGGUAGUCUAGUGGUUAGAGGAGACAGGUAGUCUAGUGGUUAGAGGAGGCAGGUAGUCUAGUGGUUAGAGGAGACAGGUAGUCUAGUGGUUAGAGGAGACAGGUAGUCUAGUGGUUAGAGGAGGCAGGUAGUCUAGUGGUUAGAGGAGACAGGUAGUCUAGUGGUUAGAGGAGGCAGGUAGCCUAGUGGUUAGAGGAGACAGGUAGUCUAGUGGUUAGAGGAGACAGGUAGUCUAGUGGUUAGAGGAGACAGGUAGUCUAGUGGUUAGAGGAGGCAGGUAGCCUAGUGGUUAGAGGAGACAGGUAGUCUAGUGGUUAGAGGAGACAGGUAGUCUAGUGGUUAGAGGAGGCAGGUAGUCUAGUGGUUAGAGGAGACAGGUAGCCUUGUGGUUAGAGGAGACAGGUAGUCUAGUGGUUAGAGGAGACAGGUAGCCUAGUGGUUAGAGGAGACAGGUAGUCUAGUGGUUAGAGGAGGCAGGUAGUCUAGUAGUUAGAGGAGACAGGUAGUCUAGUGGUUAGAUGAGGUAGGUAGUCUAGUGGUUAGAGGAGACAGGUAGUCUAGUGGUUAGAGGAGACAGGUAGUCUAGUGGUUAGAGGAGACAGGUAGCCUAGUGGUUAGAGGAGGCAGGUAGUCUAGUAGUUAGAGGAGGCAGGUAGCCUAGUGGUUAAAGGAGACAGGUAGUCUAGUGGUUAGAGGAGGCAGGUAGUCUAGUGGUUAGAGGAGGCAGGUAGUCUAGUGGUUAGAGGAGGCAGGUAGUCUAGUGGUUAGAGGAGGCAGGUAGUCUAGUGGUUAGAGGAGACAGGUAGUCUAGUGGUUAGAGGAGGCAGGUAGUCUAGUGGUUAGAGGAGGCAGGUAGUCUAGUGGUUAGAGGAGGCAGGUAGUCUAGUGGUUAGAGGAGACAGGUAGUCUAGUGGUUAGAGGAGACAGGUAGUCUAGUAGUUAGAGGAGACAGGUAGUCUAGUGGUUAGAGGAGGCAGGUAGUCUAGUGGUUAGAGGAGGCAGGUAGUCUAGUGGUUAGAGGAGGCAGGUAGCCUAGUGGUUAGAGGAGGCAGGUAGCCUAGUGGUUAAAGGAGACAGGUAGUCUAGUGGUUAGAGCAGGUAGGUAGCCUAGUGGUUAGAGGAGACAGGUAGUCUAGUAGUUAGAGGAGGCAGGUAGUCUAGUGGUUAGAGGAGGCAGGUAGUCUAGUGGUUAGAGGAGGCAGGUAGCCUAGUGGUUAAAGGAGACAGGUAGUCUAGUGGUUAGAGCAGGCAGGUAGUCUAGUGGUUAGAGGAGGCAGGUAGUCUAGUGGUUAGAGGAGGCAGGUAGCCUAGUGGUUAGAGGAGGCAGGUAGCCUAGUUGUUAGAGGAGGCAGGUAGCCUAGUGGUUAAAGGAGACAGGUAGUCUAGUGGUUAGAGCAGGCAGGUAGUCUAGUGGUUAGAGGAGGCAGGUAGUCUAGUGGUUAGAGGAGGCAGGUAGCCUAGUGGUUAAAGGAGACAGGUAGUCUAGUGGUUAGAGCAGGCAGGUAGUCUAGUGGUUAGAGGAGGCAGGUAGUCUAGUGGUUAGAGGAGGCAGGUAGUCUAGUGGUUAGAGGAGACAGGUAGCCUAGUGGUUAGAGGAGACAGGUAGUCUAGUGGUUAGAGGAGGCAGGUAGUCUAGUGGUUAGAGGAGACAGGUAGUCUAGUGGUUAGAGGAGACAGGUAGUCUGGUGGUUAGAGGAGGCAGGUAGUCUAGUGGUUAGAGGAGACAGGUAGUCUAGUGGUUAGAGGAGACAGGUAGUCUAGUUGUUAGAGGAGGCAGGGUAGCCUAGUGGUUAGAGGGGUGGGCCAGUUAAACGAAAGGUUGCUAGAUCGAAUUGACAAGGUAAAAAUCAGUCGUGCUGCCCACUGGUAGGAGGAGACAGGUAGCCUAGUAAACCCACCGUUCCCUGGUAGGAGGAGACAGGUAGCCUAGUUAACCCACCUUUCCCUGGUAGGAGGAGACAGGUAGCCUAGUUAACCCACCGUUCCCUGGUAGGAGGAGACAGGUAGCCUAGUUAACCCACCGUUCCCUGGUAGGAGGAGACAGGUAGCCUAGUUAACCCACCGUUCCCUGGUAGGAGGAGACAGGUAGCCUAGUUAACCCACCGUUCCCUGGUAGGAGGAGACAGGUAGCCUAGUUAACCCACCGUUCCCUGGUAGGAGGAGACAGGUAGCCUAGUUAACCCACCGUUCCCUGGUAGGAGGAGACAGGUAGCCUAGUUAACCCACCGUUCCCUGGUAGGAGGAGACAGGUAGCCUAGUUAACCCACCGUUCCUUGGUAGGAGGAGACAGGUAGCCUAGUUAACCCACCGUUCCCUGGUAGGAGGAGACAGGUAGCCUAGUUAACCCACCGUUCCCUGGUAGGAGGAGACAGGUAGCCUAGUUAACCCACCGUUCCCUGGUAGGAGGAGACAGGUAGCCUAGUUAACCCACCGUUCCCUGGUAGGAGGAGACAGGUAGCCUAGUUAACCCACCGUUCCCUGGUAGGAGGAGACAGGUAGCCUAGUUAACCC
Molecule: long non-coding RNA, 4446 nt
Organism: Oncorhynchus keta (chum salmon)
Lineage: Eukaryota; Metazoa; Chordata; Actinopteri; Salmoniformes; Salmonidae
Exons: 10
Source: RefSeq, a predicted model, not a curated record